Molecule: ribosomal RNA, 262 nt
Filed under: uncultured bacterium
Lineage: Bacteria
Description: partial 16S ribosomal RNA
Rfam family: Bacterial small subunit ribosomal RNA
Source: RNAcentral
UUUUCCCUACGGGGGGCAGCAGUGGGGAAUAUUGCACAAUGGGGGAAACCCUGAUGCAGCAACGCCGCGUGAGUGAAGGAGUAUUUCGGUAUGUAGAGCUCUAUCAGUAGGGAAGAAGAAAGACGGUACCUGACUAAGAAGCCCCGGCUAACUACGUGCCAGCAGCCGCGGUAAUACGUAGGGGGCAAGCGUUAUCCGGAUUUACUGGGUGUAAAGGGAGCGUAGACGGCUGUGCAAGUCUGGAGUGAAAGCCCGUGGCUCA